RNAcentral lists this ribosomal RNA (492 nucleotides) under uncultured bacterium. RNAcentral describes it as "bacterial SSU rRNA". It matches the Rfam family "Bacterial small subunit ribosomal RNA", at positions 28 to 507 of the family's 1533-position model. The record is from RNAcentral.
GAUGAACGCUAGCUACAGGCUUAACACAUGCAAGUCGAGGGGAAACGACAUCGAAAGCUUGCUUUUGAUGGGCGUCGACCGGCGCACGGGUGAGUAACGCGUAUCCAACCUGCCCACCACUUGGGGAUAACCUUGCGAAAGUAAGACUAAUACCCAAUGACGUCUCUAGAAGACAUCUGAAAGGGAUUAAAGAUUUAUCGGUGAUGGAUGGGGAUGCGUCUGAUUAGCUUGUUGGCGGGGUAACGGCCCACCAAGGCGACGAUCAGUAGGGGUUCUGAGAGGAAGGUCCCCCACAUUGGAACUGAGACACGGUCCAAACUCCUACGGGAGGCAGCAGUGAGGAAUAUUGGUCAAUGGGCGAAGCCUGAACCAGCCAAGUAGCGUGCAGGACGACGGCCCUAUGGGUUGUAAACUGCUUUUAUGCGGGGAUAAAGUGGGCCACGCGUGGCCUUUUGCAGGUACCGCAUGAAUAAGGACCGGCUAAAUUCCGUG